Molecule: ribosomal RNA, 441 nt
Filed under: uncultured bacterium
Lineage: Bacteria
Description: partial 16S ribosomal RNA
Rfam family: Bacterial small subunit ribosomal RNA
Source: RNAcentral
CCUACGGGGCGCAGCAGUGGGGAAUAUUGCACAAUGGGGGAAACCCUGAUGCAGCAACGCCGCGUGAGUGAGGAAGUAUUUCGGUAUGUAAAGCUCUAUCAGCAGGGAAUAGAAAAGAAGGUACCUGACCAAGAAGCCCCGGCUAACUACGUGCCAGCAGCCGCGGUAAUACGUAGGGGGCAAGCGUUAUCCGGAUUUACUGGGUGUAAAGGGAGCGUAGACGGCAGGGCAAGUCUGGAGUGAAAGGCGGGGGCUCAACCCCCGGACUGCUCUGGAAACUGCCAGGCUGGAGUGCAGGAGAGGUAAGUGGAAUUCCUAGUGUAGCGGUGAAAUGCGUAGAUAUUAGGAGGAACACCAGUGGCGAAGGCGGCUUACUGGACUGUAACUGACGUUGAGGCUCGAAAGCGUGGGGAGCAAACAGGAUUAGAUACCCCUGUAGUC